GGGGAUUUAGCUCAGCGGUAGAGCACUUGCCUAGAGAGCAUAAGGCCCUGGGUUCGGUCCCCAGCUCCG
Rattus norvegicus (Norway rat) is the source of this 69-nucleotide non-coding RNA. The record is from Rfam. NCBI's taxonomy places the organism in Eukaryota, Metazoa, Chordata, Mammalia, Rodentia, Muridae.